GAUGAACGCUGGCGGAGGGAGGAAUACAUGCAAGUCGAGCGAACAGAUGAGGAGCUUGCUCCUCUGACGUUAGCGGCGGACGGGUGAGUAACACGUGGAUAACCUACCUAUAAGACUGGGAUAACUUCGGGAAACCGGAGCUAAUACCGGAUAAUAUAUUGAACCGCAUGGUUCAAUAGUGAAAGACGGUUUUGCUGUCACUUAUAGAUGGAUCCGCGCCGCAUUAGCUAGUUGGUAAGGUAACGGCUUACCAAGGCAACGAUGCGUAGCCGACCUGAGAGGGUGAUCGGCCACACUGGAACUGAGACACGGUCCAGACUCCUACGGGAGGCAGCAGUAGGGAAUCUUCCGCAAUGGGCGAAAGCCUGACGGAGCAACGCCGCGUGAGUGAUGAAGGUCUUCGGAUCGUAAAACUCUGUUAUUAGGGAAGAACAAAUGUGUAAGUAACUAUGCACGUCUUGACGGUACCUAAUCAGAAAGCCACGGCUAACUACGUG
Molecule: ribosomal RNA, 497 nt
Filed under: uncultured bacterium
Lineage: Bacteria
Description: partial 16S ribosomal RNA
Rfam family: Bacterial small subunit ribosomal RNA
Source: RNAcentral